Molecule: long non-coding RNA, 671 nt
Filed under: Piliocolobus tephrosceles (Ugandan red Colobus)
Lineage: Eukaryota; Metazoa; Chordata; Mammalia; Primates; Cercopithecidae
Description: lncRNA (ENSPTEG00000031469.1)
Source: RNAcentral
CUGGGAUACUCUAGCCCUGUGUCUAGCUUUAGCAUCACUAUAACCUGCCAGGAGAGGGAGCUCAUACUGACUCCAUGCUAAGGUUACAGAUACCCUGGAGACUUCAAGGGCUGCAGCACAGCGAGGAAAGGAAGGGUGGGGUUUUCCUUGUUACGGGUAAUGACUACGCAGCUUUCUGGGAAUGCGUAUUUUGGGAAAAACACUGACACUAUUAAAAAAAAAAAAGGUGAGAUUAUGACACAGAAAGAAAUUAUCUUUACCAGGAGGAAGUAGAAAGAAAAAAAGAGGAAGUGACUAGAGCAAAGGAAGACAAAAGGAAAUUUGGCACAACAGGAAUCAGAAUCAAGAUCCUAUAUACCCAUUGCAAUGCCUGGCAUGUAAACCAGAUACAAGAUAGCCUGUUCUCUGCAGCUGAGACAAACCCUGAAGGAGCUGAAGGCUGUCUGCUGACCAUAUUUCCCCUGACUGAAUAUCAAGUCCUUCCUAGAAGGGGAAUCUAGCCAGUAGGUCUCCUUGUCUAUGAUACCAGGUGAGGGGUAUGCCAUGAUUAUGGUCAGAGCAAACCAGAUAGUCACUAAUAUGUUCACCUGAGGUCAGCAAAUUCAUGCUUUGCCACCUAAUAGUCUGUUUUUGAAAAUAAAAAUUUUAAUUUCAUCUUUUAAAAAUUAGUU